AAGUCGUAACAAGGUUUCCGUAGGUGAACCUGCGGAAGGAUCAUUACCGAACAACCAAAUCCUCUGUGCCUCCUUGUAGCAGGCAGGAUCGGGGUUCCAAGAGCGGGGUCGCCUUCCAGCACCCCUUGGUCUCCAUGCUGCCACUACGUCCUCCUAUUUUACCAAACAAAACCCGUCUGUCGCAUGUUUGUGGCAUCCCCUUGUCGGGCUUGCCCUUUAAACAUAUCAAACAUAACUUUCAACAACGGAUCUCUUGGCUCUC
This 262-nucleotide unclassified non-coding RNA is filed under the name fungal sp. RNAcentral describes it as "partial internal transcribed spacer region". The stretch from base 1 to 46 matches the Rfam family "Eukaryotic small subunit ribosomal RNA", at positions 1786 to 1831 of the family's 1831-position model. Lineage: Eukaryota; Fungi. The record is from RNAcentral.